This 301-nucleotide ribosomal RNA is filed under the name uncultured bacterium. RNAcentral's name for it is "partial 16S ribosomal RNA". It matches the Rfam family "Bacterial small subunit ribosomal RNA", at positions 509 to 807 of the family's 1533-position model. The record is from RNAcentral.
CAGUCGCCGCGGGAAUACAGAGGGUGCGAGCGUUAAUCGGAUUUACUGGGCGUAAAGCGUGCGUAGGCGGCUAAUUGAGUCGGAUGUGAAAUCCCCGAGCUUAACUUGGGAAUUGCAUUCGAUACUGGUUAGCUAGAGUGUGGGAGAGGAUGGUAGAAUUCCAGGUGUAGCGGUGAAAUGCGUAGAGAUCUAGAGGAAUACCGAUGGCGAAGGCAGCCAUCUGGCCUAACACUGACGCUGAGGUACGAAAGCAUGGGGAGCAAACAGGAUUAGAUACCCGGGUAGUCCCUGUCUCUUAUAC